Molecule: ribosomal RNA, 404 nt
Filed under: uncultured bacterium
Lineage: Bacteria
Description: bacterial SSU rRNA
Rfam family: Bacterial small subunit ribosomal RNA
Source: RNAcentral
AUUGAACGCUGGCGGAAUGCUUUACACAUGCAAGUCGAACGGCAGCACGGGGCAACCUGGUGGCGAGUGGCGAACGGGUGAGUAAUACAUCGGAACGUGCCCAAUCGUGGGGGAUAACGUAGCGAAAGUUACGCUAAUACCGCAUACGAUCUACGGAUGAAAGCGGGGGAUCGCAAGACCUCGCGCGAGUGGAGCGGCCGAUGUCAGAUUAGGUAGUUGGUGGGGUAAAGGCUCACCAAGCCAACGAUCUGUAGCUGGUCUGAGAGGACGACCAGCCACACUGGAACUGAGACACGGUCCAGACUCCUACGGGAGGCAGCAGUGGGGAAUUUUGGACAAUGGGCGCAAGCCUGAUCCAGCCAUUCCGCGUGCAGGAUGAAGGCCUUCGGUUGUAACUAGCUUUG